CCUACGGGAGGCAGCAGUGAGGAAUAUUGGUCAAUGGACGAGAGUCUGAACCAGCCAAGUAGCGUGAAGGAUGACUGCCCUAUGGGUUGUAAACUUCUUUUAUAUGGGAAUAAAAUGUUCCACGUGUGGGAUUUUGUAUGUACCAUAUGAAUAAGGAUCGGCUAACUCCGUGCCAGCAGCCGCGGUAAUACGGAGGAUCCGAGCGUUAUCCGGAUUUAUUGGGUUUAAAGGGAGCGUAGGUGGAUUGUUAAGUCAGUUGUGAAAGUUUGCGGCUCAACCGUAAAAUUGCAGUUGAAACUGGCAGUCUUGAGUACAGUAGAGGUGGGCGGAAUUCGUGGUGUAGCGGUGAAAUGCGUAGAGAUCACGAAGAACUCCGAUUGCGAAGGCAGUUCACUGGACUGCAACUGACACUGAGGCUCGAAAGCGUGGGUAUCAAACAGGAUUAGAUACCCGAGUAGUC
RNAcentral lists this ribosomal RNA (460 nucleotides) under uncultured bacterium. RNAcentral describes it as "partial 16S ribosomal RNA". It matches the Rfam family "Bacterial small subunit ribosomal RNA", at positions 338 to 795 of the family's 1533-position model. The record is from RNAcentral.